Molecule: ribosomal RNA, 468 nt
Filed under: uncultured bacterium
Lineage: Bacteria
Description: partial 16S ribosomal RNA
Rfam family: Bacterial small subunit ribosomal RNA
Source: RNAcentral
GACGAACGCUGGCGGCGUGCUUAACACAUGCAAGUCGAACGGAAAGGCCCUGCUUUUGUGGGGUGCUCGAGUGGCGAACGGGUGAGUAACAAGUGAGUAACCUGCCCUUGACUUUGGGAUAACUUCAGGAAACUGGGGCUAAUACCGGAUAGGAGCUCCUGCUGCAUGGUGGGGGUUGGAAAGUUUCGGCGGUUGGGGAUGGACUCGCGGCUUAUCAGCUUGUUGGUGGGGUAGUGGCUUACCAAGGCUUUGACGGGUAGCCGGCCUGAGAGGGUGACCGGCCACGUUGGGACUGGGAUACGGCCCAGACUCCUACGGGAGGCAGCAGUGGGGAAUAUUGCACAAUGGGCGGAAGCCUGAUGCAGCAACGCCGCGUGCGGGAUGACGGCCUUCGGGUUGUAAACCGCUUUCGCCUGUGACGAAGCGUGAGUGACGGUAAUGGGUAAAGAAGCACCGGCUAACUACGUG